Molecule: long non-coding RNA, 1547 nt
Organism: Drosophila obscura
Lineage: Eukaryota; Metazoa; Arthropoda; Insecta; Diptera; Drosophilidae
Exons: 5
Source: RefSeq, a predicted model, not a curated record
GCUUUUCGGUCACUCCAUUCGUGUUUCUCAAUUAGUGAACAUUAAAAAUGGUUUUGCUCUCGGCCUAAUAUUAAUAAAUAUAAUUUUUUCAGUAAUUUCAGUACAUUUGUUUUCUGUCAAAAAUUCGAAAAGUUAAAUUAUUUCAAGGAAUUUUUUCAAAUUUGUUGCUGGUUGCAGCCUAUGAUUUCGGUCUACACCAUCGUUCAAGUAGAGCUUUCUUAUGAUUAUACGGCGGUUGGAUGUAGCUUGGCGCAGGGCAUUUCAGGCCUGCUUGUCUAUUUCUUUCCCUCACGCCACUGAUCCACGAUGUGGUGGGAAACAGGAGCGACGAUUGCCCCCGACCCUGCCACGGAUACACGCAUGUAUAUUUAAGCAUGCCUAAGUUCGGAGCAAGAUGCCAGCACUUCCCAGUGUAGCCGCAAUGCUCUUGCGAACGAUCUGUUAGGGGUGCGUCGAAUCUUCCAUUGCAGAUUCUGCAACCUCCGAAAAGCCAGAAGCCGAGGAGUGUACAUCAGCAUCAGCUGCUACCGCUGCAGAUCCUGUGCCAAUUGUAAAGGAGGAAAAUGGCAACCUAUCGAUGUAUAGUACAAAAGGCCCGAUGAGCUCAAGGCGUUUACCCAUGAGACCAUCAAUGCUCAACGGGAAAUCAUCACCAUGUGUCCCCUGUUUGUGCAUGCUAAAUAUAUCAAAGAACAAGCUCCCCGCUCAUCUCUUUCUUUUAGAAAGAGACUCCACAACGAGCUGUGCAAAGUACCAUCUACUACGAUAUGCCAGAGGAGCUGCAACAUGUACUAGAGGAAUCAGAUGUGCAGUUCAUUGAGAGCAAGGAGUUGUAGGAAGCCGCAGGGCAAGAUCUUGUGCUUCCAUGGACCGCCUGGUUUAGCCAAAACGAACAUAGCCCAGCUCCAUAGCUUGUGGCCUGUACAAGAUUGGCAAAGGCUUGCAAGAAGGCCCCAGCUUUUUCUGCGAUUUUGUAGCAUGCAUAUACAGGAAAUUCAAGGUGCUGAGGUCCCGUAGAGUCUUGAUUAUCUCUUGGCUCAGCGCCUUGACCCCUUCGGAUUUUUUGUGGAUCGGUAGAUCGACAUUCUUUUUACCUCAACAAUGAGAAAAGGAGCUGCAUCGGCAGCAACUGCUGCUGAUGUAGACGUUUAAGCUUGGAGGUUGCAGACCAUCCUCGACCAUCAUUGCAUGCAUUGGAAGAUUCGGCGCAGCCUUAAACGAUCAUUCUCUCAUGUGUAGCGGUAUUGUGUUCUGAUUGCUUGGCGAAAUCAGAAAUGCCAGAAAAGGCAGGCUUGGUGUCCGAUCAUUUGGAUUGGGCAUCAGACUAGGAGUAGACAGAGCAGAACAAUUUUCGGAAAUGUGAAUGAAGAAAUCACGCCAGCCAGUCCUGCCAUUUCUACGUGCGAAUUCGUCAUCACAGCGGACUUUGAGGGUUUCAAAGUGUAUUCGACACUUAAUACCCAGCUGGGACCUUCGGCCAUUUCGGCUUUGAUAAAUUAUUAGCUGAUCAACAAAUAAUAAAGAAGAUAGUUUUCAUGACGUAAACU